GUGCUCGCUUCAGCAGCACAUGCACUAAAAUUGGAAAGAUACAGAGAAGGUUAGCACAGCUGCUGAGCGAGAACGGCACACAAAUUCGUGAAGCAUUCCAUAUAUUA
Molecule: small nuclear RNA, 107 nt
Organism: Equus asinus (donkey)
Lineage: Eukaryota; Metazoa; Chordata; Mammalia; Perissodactyla; Equidae
Source: Ensembl